GAUGAACGCUGGCGGUAUGCUUAACACAUGCAAGUCGAACGGUCUCUUCGGAGAUAGUGGCGGACGGGUGAGUAACGCGUGAGAAUCUGGCUUUAGGUCUGGGACAACCACUGGAAACGGUGGCUAAUACCGGAUGUGCCGAAAGGUGAAAGGUUAACUGCCUAGAGAUGAGCUCGCGUCUGAUUAGCUAGUUGGUAGGGUAAAGGCUUACCAAGGCGACGAUCAGUAGCUGGUCUGAGAGGACGAUCAGCCACACUGGGACUGAGACAC
RNAcentral lists this ribosomal RNA (270 nucleotides) under Rhizonema sp. 'cyanobiont of Dictyonema sp.'. Its description in RNAcentral is "partial 16S ribosomal RNA". It matches the Rfam family "Bacterial small subunit ribosomal RNA", at positions 28 to 327 of the family's 1533-position model. Lineage: Bacteria; Bacillati; Cyanobacteriota; Cyanophyceae; Nostocales; Rhizonemataceae. The record is from RNAcentral.